CUGAUGUAGGUGAAGAGGACGAAAUGUGAACGCGGGAGAAAAAAAUAUGCAUGCCUGGCAGAUUAAACGUGUCUAGGUACGAAGAGGGAAGGAGUACUGGGGUGAAGGGGUCGGAGCAGGGGGGGUGAUGGGGCAGGGACACGAGGGUGAGGCAGGCACGAGACAAUGUUGGCAAUGGUGGUGGCAACAGAAGAGAGCCAAGUUACUGAGCAGGAGUGAGAAAGGGUUCACCUCGAGUAGGUCAAACAGCCUCUAUUUUUACUCCCCCCCGCGCGCGGAAGUCUACACUGACGAUCGAGGCAGAAUGCAGGAAACCAUACCGGGGCCGAGGGAGGUGGAGUCGAUAGAUUAUAAAGGUACUCUGCCUUACAAUGAAGAGCAAUCCACAGCUCCUUUUGACCGUCAUUGAGUGCACGACAGAAACACAACCAUCGUGUGAGAGCGACGCCACGCCAACAGUCUCCUAAUCAACAUGUGUGGGAGUGAGCAGCAAGUAUUCCCUAUCAGCAACACCAGUGCGCUUGUAAGGGACACACACACACACACACACACACACACACACACACACACACACACACACACACACACACACACACGUCAUUUGUCUGGAGAUGCUGAGAAUUUACACGAAGCUAUUGAUGGUGAUAACGAUGAGAGAGAGAGAGAGAGAGAGAGAGAGAGAGAGAGAGAGAGAGAGAGAGAGAGAGAGAGAGAGAGAGAGAGAGAGAGAGAGAGAGA
Molecule: long non-coding RNA, 738 nt
Organism: Portunus trituberculatus (swimming crab)
Lineage: Eukaryota; Metazoa; Arthropoda; Malacostraca; Decapoda; Portunidae
Exons: 2
Source: RefSeq, a predicted model, not a curated record